RNAcentral lists this ribosomal RNA (497 nucleotides) under uncultured bacterium. Its description in RNAcentral is "partial 16S ribosomal RNA". It matches the Rfam family "Bacterial small subunit ribosomal RNA", at positions 29 to 507 of the family's 1533-position model. The record is from RNAcentral.
AGUGAACGCUGGCGGCGUGCCUAAUACAUGCAAGUCGAGCGGACGCACAGGAAGCUCUUUUCUCUGAGGUUAGCGAGUGACGGGUGGGUAACAAAUGCAUAGCCUACUACUUAUACGUGGGUAACUUCGUGGAACCGUAGCUACUAACACAUAAUAUUUUCAACCGCAUAGUUCAAAAGUGAUACACACUUUUCCUGACACUUAUAGAUGAUUCCGCGUUGCAUAAGCUAGUUGGUAAGGUAACGGCUUACCAAGGCAACGAUGCAUAGCCGACCUGAGAGGGUGAUCGGCCACACUGGAACUGAGACACGGUCCAGACUCCUACGGGAGGCAGCAGUAGGGAAUCUUCCGCAAUGGGCGAAAGCCUGACGCAGCAACGCCGCGUGAGUGAUGAAGGUCUUCGGAUCGUAAAGCUCUGUUAUUAGGGAAGAACAUAUGUGUAAGUAACUGUGCACAUCUUGACGGUACCUAAACAGAAAGCAACGGCUAACUACGUG